Molecule: ribosomal RNA, 305 nt
Filed under: uncultured bacterium
Lineage: Bacteria
Description: bacterial SSU rRNA
Rfam family: Bacterial small subunit ribosomal RNA
Source: RNAcentral
UAGCCUACGGGAGGCAGCAGUGAGGAAUAUUGGUCAAUGGCCGCAGGGCUGAACCAGCCAAGUCGCGUGAGGGACGACGGUCCUAUGGAUUGUAAACCUCUUUUGUCAGGGAGCAACGCCGGCUACGUGUAGCCGGACUGAGAGUACCUGAAGAAAAAGCAUCGGCUAACUCCGUGCCAGCAGCCGCGGUAAUACGGAGGAUGCGAGCGUUAUCCGGAUUUAUUGGGUUUAAAGGGUGCGUAGGCGGAAUGCCAAGUCAGCGGUAAAAUCGCGGGGCUCAACCUCGCUCCGCCGUUGAAACUGGC